RNAcentral lists this unclassified non-coding RNA (431 nucleotides) under plant metagenome. Its description in RNAcentral is "partial contains 5.8S ribosomal RNA, internal transcribed spacer 2, and large subunit ribosomal RNA". The stretch from base 1 to 102 matches the Rfam family "5.8S ribosomal RNA", at positions 50 to 154 of the family's 154-position model. The record is from RNAcentral.
AAACUGCGAUAAGUAGUGUGAAUUGCAUUUAGUGAAUCAUCGAAUCUUUGAACGCACCCUGCACUCACUGGUAUUCCGGUGAGUACGCCUGUUUCAGUAUCAUUGAAAACACACAAUCAAAACAUUUUCUUUGGUUUGAUUGGCUUUGGGUCUAUCAAAAAGUUUGGCUUGUUUCUUACAAGCCAAGCUGCCUGAAAUAUAUUGUCUGGCUAAUUGCAUCGUUGAUGAUCGCUAUUAGACUUUGGCUUUUUUAAAUGAACUGGAGGUUGAUUAACCAGUUUUAGCUUUAGUCAAAUGGUCAUUGUAAAAAAAAUCUCGAUCUUGGCUAGGUGUUUAUAGCCGAAAAUUUUUUUUUGGCUAUAACCGAAACCAAUAUAAUCACAUUUAGUUAUCGAUCUGAAAUCAGGUGGGACUACCCGCUGAACUUAAGC